AGAGUUUGAUCAUGGCUCAGAUUGAACGCUGGCGGCAUGCCUUACACAUGCAAGUCGAACGGCAGCGGGGACUUCGGUCCGCCGGCGAGUGGCGAACGGGUGAGUAACGUAUCGGAACGUACCUUUCAGUGGGGGAUAACGUAGCGAAAGUUACGCUAAUACCGCAUAUUCUGUGAGCAGGAAAGCAGGGGAUCGCAAGACCUUGCGCUGAUUGAGCGGCCGAUAUCAGAUUAGCUAGUUGGUGAGGUAAAGGCUCACCAAGGCGACGAUCUGUAGCGGGUCUGAGAGGAUGAUCCGCCACACUGGAACUGAGACACGGUCCAGACUCCUACGGGAGGCAGCAGUGGGGAAUUUUGGACAAUGGGGGCAACCCUGAUCCAGCCAUGCCGCGUGAGUGAAGAAGGCCUUCGGGUUGUAAAGCUCUUUCGGCCGGGAAGAAAUCGUAUGGGUUAAUACCCUGUGCGGAUGACGGUACCGGCAUAAGAAGCACCGGCUAACUACGUGCCAGCAGCCGCGGUAAUACGUAGGGUGCGAGCGUUAAUCGGAAUUACUGGGCGUAAAGCGUGCGCAGGCGGUUUUGUAAGACAGGCGUGAAAUCCCCGGGCUCAACCUGGGAACUGCGCUUGUGACUGCAAGGCUAGAGUAUGGCAGAGGGGGGUGGAAUUCCACGUGUAGCAGUGAAAUGCGUAGAGAUGUGGAGGAACACCAAUGGCGAAGGCAGCCCCCUGGGCCAAUACUGACGCUCAUGCACGAAAGCGUGGGUAGCAAACAGGAUUAGAUACCCUGGUAGUCCACGCCCU
Molecule: ribosomal RNA, 800 nt
Filed under: uncultured bacterium
Lineage: Bacteria
Description: bacterial SSU rRNA
Rfam family: Bacterial small subunit ribosomal RNA
Source: RNAcentral